This 253-nucleotide ribosomal RNA is filed under the name uncultured bacterium. RNAcentral describes it as "partial 16S ribosomal RNA". It matches the Rfam family "Bacterial small subunit ribosomal RNA", at positions 524 to 776 of the family's 1533-position model. The record is from RNAcentral.
UACGGAGGAUCCAAGCGUUAUCCGGAUUUAUUGGGUUUAAAGGGUGCGUAGGCGGCCUAUUAAGUCAGGGGUGAAAGACGGUAGCUUAACUAUCGCAGUGCCCUUGAUACUGAUGGGCUUGAAUAUACUUGAGGUAGGCGGAAUGUGACAAGUAGCGGUGAAAUGCAUAGAUAUGUCACAGAACACCAAUUGCGAAGGCAGCUUACUAAGGUAUGAUUGACGCUGAGGCACGAAAGCGUGGGGAGCAAACAGG